RNAcentral lists this ribosomal RNA (461 nucleotides) under marine sediment bacterium ISA-2663. RNAcentral's name for it is "bacterial SSU rRNA". It matches the Rfam family "Bacterial small subunit ribosomal RNA", at positions 37 to 489 of the family's 1533-position model. The record is from RNAcentral.
UGGCGGCAGGCCUAACACAUGCAAGUCGAGCGGUAACAUUUCUAGCUUGCUAGAAGAUGACGAGCGGCGGACGGGUGAGUAAUGCUUGGGAACAUGCCUUUAGGUGGGGGACAACAGUUGGAAACGACUGCUAAUACCGCAUAAUGUCUACGGACCAAAGUGGGGGACCUUCGGGCCUCACGCCUAAAGAUUGGCCCAAGUGGGAUUAGCUAGUUGGUGAGGUAAUGGCUCACCAAGGCGACGAUCCCUAGCUGGUUUGAGAGGAUGAUCAGCCACACUGGGACUGAGACACGGCCCAGACUCCUACGGGAGGCAGCAGUGGGGAAUAUUGCACAAUGGGCGCAAGCCUGAUGCAGCCAUGCCGCGUGUGUGAAGAAGGCCUUCGGGUUGUAAAGCACUUUCAGUAAGGAGGAAAGGUUGGAUGUUAAUAGCAUUCAGCCUGUGACGUUACUACAGAAGAA